RNAcentral lists this ribosomal RNA (253 nucleotides) under uncultured bacterium. RNAcentral describes it as "partial 16S ribosomal RNA". It matches the Rfam family "Bacterial small subunit ribosomal RNA", at positions 524 to 776 of the family's 1533-position model. The record is from RNAcentral.
UACGUAGGGUGCAAGCGUUGUCCGGAAUUAUUGGGCGUAAAGAGCGUGUAGGCGGCCAGGUAGGUCCGUUGUGAAAACUGGAGGCUUAACCUCCAGCGGUCGAUGGAAACCAUCUGACUAGAGUCCGGAAGAGGAGAGUGGAAUUCCUGGUGUAGCGGUGAAAUGCGCAGAUAUCAGGAAGAACACCCGUGGCUAAGGCGGCUCUCUAGUACGGUACUGACGCUGAGACGCGAAAGCGUGGGGAGCGAACAGG